UUGAAUGUUACGAAUAGUAGUCAAUGGC
This 28-nucleotide small RNA is filed under the name Bombyx mori (domestic silkworm). Its description in RNAcentral is "ovarian small RNA-4111". Lineage: Eukaryota; Metazoa; Arthropoda; Insecta; Lepidoptera; Bombycidae. The record is from RNAcentral.